RNAcentral lists this microRNA precursor (140 nucleotides) under Podarcis lilfordi (Lilford's wall lizard). Lineage: Eukaryota; Metazoa; Chordata; Lepidosauria; Squamata; Lacertidae. The record is from RNAcentral.
CUUCCAGUAGCACCUUAGAGACCAACUAAGUUUGUUACUGGUAUGAGCUUUCGUGUGCAUGCACACUUCUUCAGAUACACAUGCACACAAAAGUUCAUACCAAAAAUAAACUUAGUUGGUCUCUAAGGUGCUACUGGAAG